RNAcentral lists this long non-coding RNA (1530 nucleotides) under Sorghum bicolor (sorghum). RNAcentral's name for it is "long non-coding RNA (SBIC_LNC009968)". The record is from RNAcentral. Lineage: Eukaryota; Viridiplantae; Streptophyta; Magnoliopsida; Poales; Poaceae.
CUAUAGGUAUUGUGUUAGAAACCUAUUUUGGGUUUGGGUUCCAUAUGAGUUUGUUAUUGGAGACAGCCUUACUCGUCUUUCUCACGUAUCUACAUUGUGGGGUGGGCCUAAGCUGCCUUGGCAAAGAUAGGGGUAUAUGAAUGAGAAAUUGCAAGUGUAAAGACAGAUAGAUACACAAGUUCAUAUAUAUCUUGUCGCGAGGGGGCUUUUUUUUUGUCCUUGUAGAAACCUUUUUUUUUCAACUGAGAUAGUAUUGUUGUAUAUACAAGCCUUCUAGAUUAGAUCACUCGAUGCGUGGGGAGAAUAUGUAAGUAACCUAAAGUAAGAACUGAACUAAAUCAAUCAAAAGCAUAGACACAAGAGUACCAAUCCAGGUGUCACUCAAAGUAGAGCUAUAUCUGCCAAGCUACAUGGUAGAAGAUAAGUCGAUAGUUUCUGCUCCUCAUGGUGAUAAGGCUUUGCCUUGGAUGGUAUCUCAUCUCUAUUUCUUUAUUUAUACCGUUUAAAUGGCAGGGCUUGUAGCAGGGAUACUUGAAGUGCACGCACGGGUGCGCCUAUAGUCUGCGGCACAUUGGCUGGUGGUGAGGCUAGGUUGACCGACUUAGGUGAGGGACGGUGACCCUUUGUUCUACUGCCCACUGCUAUAGAAGAGGUCUUUGGACGAUUACCAAAAUCGCCAAUAGUCUCGGCAGAUUUGGUCCUCGAGAUUAAAGACUUCUUUAGUCCCGGUAAUACAGUCCGAGACUAAAGGGUCCCGCCCAACGGCUACUGCGCAGAGCUAUCGGGGCAGGACCCUUUACUCCCGGCUCGUGUUAUGGGCCGGGAGUAAAUUGGGGACUUCACCCUUUUUAGUCCCCGUUUUUACUUCAAGCUAGGACUAAAGGUGCACGAGUUAUAUCUUUCUCCCUUCUUCCUCUCCGAGACCGAGCCUAUUCAAAAUUCAGUGAGCUUAUUCCCUCUUUUCUUCCUAGCCUUUGCUUGUUCUUGCUUGUUCUUCCUUGUUCUUCAUCUCCGGCACCCAUUGGUGAUCUUCUUCGACGCCAUCAUCGUUUCCUCGGGUCUAGGGGUAACUAACUUCAUCCUCUCUCUUUUUUGACGUUAUUUUUUGUUUUUAUGAUUUCUCCUCCAUUUUAAGCUCAAAAUCAAUGGUUAUAGUUUGAAUCGACAUAGCCGGUGUCUAUUGGUGAUCUUCUUCGACUCGUCAUCGACUCUUCGUGUUUAGAGGUAACUAAGCUUCAUCCUCCCAUAUCAUUUUAAUGUUGUUUUUGUCCUUGUGAUUUCUCCACCACUUUGAGCUAAAAUUUACUUGUUAGUUUGAAUUCAUAGCUUAAAUUAGUAACCAUAUAUAUAAUAUUUCAUGGUUUGCUAUAAAUUAAAGAAUUAUAGUGUCUUUUUAAUCUUUCUUCUAUAUAUAAUUGAGAUCAUAAAAGGAAUUUAAUUAAUAGGGUUCAUCAAAUCGACUUGUUAGCUAGACUUGUUAAUUUAAGCAUGUAUAAAAAUUUUGAGCAUAGAGUUCAUCAAAUUGACUUG